GUCUAUGGCCAUGCCACCCUGCACAAGCCCGAUGUCUGAUCCCGGAAGCUAAGCAGGGUCAGGCCUGGUUAGCACUUGGAUGGAAGACUACCUAGGAAGUCUAGGUGCUGUAGGCA
This 116-nucleotide ribosomal RNA is filed under the name Pteropus alecto (black flying fox). Lineage: Eukaryota; Metazoa; Chordata; Mammalia; Chiroptera; Pteropodidae. The record is from RNAcentral.